CCUACGGGAGGCAGCAGUAGGGAAUAUUGCUCAAUGGGGGAAACCCUGAAGCAGCAACGCCGCGUGGAGGAUGAAGGUUUUCGGAUUGUAAACUCCUUUUGUUAGAGAAGAUAAUGACGGUAUCUAACGAAUAAGCACCGGCUACCUCCGUGCCAGCAGCCGCGGUAAUACGGAGGGUGCAAGUGUUACUCGGAAUCACUGGGCGUAAAGAGGGCGUAGGCGGGAUAGCAAGUCAGAUGUGAAAUCCUAUGGCUUAACCAUAGAACUGCAUUUGAAACUGUUAUUCUAGAGUAUGGGAGAGGUAGGUGGAAUUCGUGGUGUAGGGGUAAAAUCCGUAGAGAUCAAGAGGAAUACUCAUUGCGAAGGCGACCUGCUAGAACAUAACUGACGCUGAUGCGCGAAAGCGUGGGGAGCAAACAGGAUUAGAUACCCCAGUAGUC
Molecule: ribosomal RNA, 440 nt
Filed under: uncultured bacterium
Lineage: Bacteria
Description: partial 16S ribosomal RNA
Rfam family: Bacterial small subunit ribosomal RNA
Source: RNAcentral